This 253-nucleotide ribosomal RNA is filed under the name uncultured bacterium. RNAcentral's name for it is "partial 16S ribosomal RNA". It matches the Rfam family "Bacterial small subunit ribosomal RNA", at positions 524 to 776 of the family's 1533-position model. The record is from RNAcentral.
UACGUAGGGUGCGAGCGUUGUCCGGAAUUAUCGGGCGUAAAGAGCUCGUAGGCGGUUCGUCGCGUCGAAUGUGAAAACCCGGGGCUCAACUCCGGGCCUGCAUUCGAUACGGGCGGACUAGAGUUCGGUAGGGGAGACUGGAAUUCCUGGUGUAGCGGUGAAAUGCGCAGAUAUCAGGAGGAACACCGGUGGCGAAGGCGGGUCUCUGGGCCGAUACUGACGCUGAGGAGCGAAAGCGUGGGGAGCGAACAGG